RNAcentral lists this unclassified non-coding RNA (307 nucleotides) under Curvibasidium cygneicollum. RNAcentral's name for it is "partial contains 5.8S ribosomal RNA, internal transcribed spacer 2, and large subunit ribosomal RNA". Lineage: Eukaryota; Fungi; Basidiomycota; Microbotryomycetes. The record is from RNAcentral.
CGCACCUUGCGCUCUCUGGUAUUCCGGAGAGCAUGUCUGUUUGAGUGUCAUGAACUCUUCAACCUACCGAUUUCUAGUAAAUCGGAUUAGUGUUUGGAUUUUGAACGCUUGCUGGCCUUUAUUGGCGAAGCUCGUUCGUAAAUGAUUAGCAUCUCAUAUUCGAAAAUCGGAUUGACUCAGUGUAAUAGACUAUUCGCUGAGGACGCUCUUUCGGGAGUGGCCGAGUUUUGUAAAGUAGAAGCUUCUAAUUCUAUUAGUCAACUUUAGAUUAGACCUCAGAUCAGGCAGGAUUACCCGCUGAACUUAA